CUCAGCUCUUCUGGGAGCCUUGGGAAGAGCCAGCGCUCCUGGAGAACUUGCCUAUCUGAAGGCUGAAUGUCUGCUUAAGUAUCAGGCUGGAAUGGGAGCAGGACUGGUGCAGCUGACCCACACCGAGAGCCACCAGGACAUCAGCUCCUGGCCUGUCUAGGUACACAAUUUCCACAGUGCCAGAAAAGGAGCUCCCGCUCUCUGGUCCCGGUGACGGAGAGGUCGAUGGUGAUGCAGCACUCACAGCCAAGUGGGCUACAAGCCCAGUAGCCCAGCUCAUCCCCACACUGGGGAAGGGACCCCAGUCCCACAGGCAAGGACCUCGGGCUGCCAAAAAUAGUAAAGCUGCGCU
This 352-nucleotide long non-coding RNA is filed under the name Athene cunicularia (burrowing owl). RNAcentral's name for it is "lncRNA (ENSACUG00000012438.1)". The record is from RNAcentral. Lineage: Eukaryota; Metazoa; Chordata; Aves; Strigiformes; Strigidae.